GACGAAGGGGGCUAGCGUUGUUCGGAAUUACUGGGCGUAAAGCGCGUGUAGGUGGUUGUCGUAGUCAGGCGUGAAAGCCUUGAGCUCAACUCAAGAAAUGCGCUUGAUACUGGGCAGCUAGAGGACCGGAGAGGAUAGUGGAAUUUCCGGUGUAGCGGUGAAAUGCGUAGAUAUCGUAAGGAACGCCAGUGGCGAAAGCGAAUCUCUGGGCAGCAACUGACGCUGAGGCACGAAGGCCAGGGGAGCAAACGGG
RNAcentral lists this ribosomal RNA (253 nucleotides) under uncultured bacterium. RNAcentral describes it as "partial 16S ribosomal RNA". It matches the Rfam family "Bacterial small subunit ribosomal RNA", at positions 524 to 776 of the family's 1533-position model. The record is from RNAcentral.